AAGUCGUAACAAGGUUUCCGUAGGUGAACCUGCGGAAGGAUCAUUAUCGAGUUUUGAACGGGUUGUAGCUGGCCUCAUACGGGGCAUGUGCACGCCUGGCUCAUCCACUCUUCAACCUCUGUGCACUUAUUGUAGAUCGGUGGAUUGAAAGUCGAGGCGCAAGUCUUGACUGGAGAGAAACCUUUCUACGUAUUUACCACAAACGCUUCAGUUAUAGAAUGUUUAUCUGCGUAUAACGCAUCUUUAUACAACUUUCAGCAACGGAUCUCUUGGCUCUC
Molecule: unclassified non-coding RNA, 278 nt
Filed under: air metagenome
Description: partial contains small subunit ribosomal RNA, internal transcribed spacer 1, and 5.8S ribosomal RNA
Rfam family: Eukaryotic small subunit ribosomal RNA (bases 1-46)
Source: RNAcentral